AUAAAGGGAAGGAAAAAGUGGUCGAAUAGCCGUUGAAGCCGUCCGACGACAUCCGAGAUUUUGCUCGUUAGCGAUCAGAUUCGGGAUCAUUAAAGUCGAAGUCAUCUACACUAUCAAAGCCUCCAUUUUGGUAUAAUUUUGGUUGAACUUUGAAAUGGCAUGUAUAGGACUACCCUAUUGUUGAAGGUCAUGUACCUUUCGGUUUUGUGUAAGCUUGGAUAGCCAUGCGAAAAUGGCUUAUAUACGUUUUUAGUAUGAUUCUAUAAUCGUUUGUAUGAUGAUCAUUAUGGGGUAUGGAAUUAUUUGAAAAGAUUAGCCAUUGGAAUGGUUAAUCGUGAUCACACUUUGUGCUAUGUAUGCAAAAAGGACCAAUUGAAUCGUGGAAAUCAUGAAAUAGGUAAUGGUUACCUUGAAAA
This is a long non-coding RNA of Gossypium arboreum, 416 nucleotides long. RefSeq lists it as uncharacterized. NCBI's taxonomy places the organism in Eukaryota, Viridiplantae, Streptophyta, Magnoliopsida, Malvales, Malvaceae. The record is from RefSeq and is a predicted model, not a curated record. The transcript has 2 exons.